UACGGUGCCUCGACCGCGACCGCAGGUCAGGCAGGAUACCCCAG
RNAcentral lists this ribosomal RNA (44 nucleotides) under Eurya nitida. RNAcentral's name for it is "partial 28S ribosomal RNA". The record is from RNAcentral. Lineage: Eukaryota; Viridiplantae; Streptophyta; Magnoliopsida; Ericales; Pentaphylacaceae.